Molecule: ribosomal RNA, 191 nt
Filed under: Rossellomorea aquimaris
Lineage: Bacteria; Bacillati; Bacillota; Bacilli; Caryophanales; Bacillaceae
Description: Bacillus aquimaris partial 16S ribosomal RNA
Rfam family: Bacterial small subunit ribosomal RNA
Source: RNAcentral
UCUUUCGGAGAGUUUGAUCCUGGCUCAGGACGAACGCUGGCGGCGUGCCUAAUACAUGCAAGUCGAGCGGAUUGAUGGGAGCUUGCUCCCUGAAAUCAGCGGCGGACGGGUGAGUAACACGUGGGUAACCUGCCUGUAAGACUGGGAUAACUCCGGGAAACCGGGGCUAAUACCGGAUAGUUCUUUUCCUC